AGGAAUAUAGCUCAGUGGCACAGUGCCUGCCUUGCAAGCACAAGGUCCUGAGUUCGAUUUUCAGUAACCUCU
Molecule: transfer RNA, 72 nt
Filed under: Cavia porcellus (domestic guinea pig)
Lineage: Eukaryota; Metazoa; Chordata; Mammalia; Rodentia; Caviidae
Rfam family: tRNA
About the family: Transfer RNA (tRNA) molecules are approximately 80 nucleotides in length.
Source: Rfam by way of RNAcentral